GGAGAUGUCGCUAGUCAAAAGAAAUCUAAUGGAGGAAUUUGGGAAAGUUUCUUUCACAUGAAAGGAUUCAUGCUCUCCUUCUGGUUGCUAUGACGAGACAGAUGUGGAACUUUUCAUUUCCCCGGAUUGUAUAGACUUCAGCUGUCAACUCGAGUGAAUGUCAGCCCACAAGACAGCUCACUUCAGGCCUUUUAUUAUUUUCAGUUUUGUAAUAGUAAGAAAAAAAAUGACUGAUGUAAAGAGAGGACUAUAUUUCUAAACCCCACCCAGGGGUGUUCCUCUUCAGAGGGGUAAGUGGUGAGGGAAAUAGAACUGCUAGGCUGAAGGAAGGUAUGGAGAUCUUCUCUAAAUCUGAGAAGGAGGGGAAAGUGUGUAGUUUGGGACUCGAAGAGUAGUAGAAAUCUCUGCACUGUUCCCUCCCUCUCAUGCCCCUAGGGAGGUAGGACCCUAGGGGUCAGGCUUCCAAUCUCAGCAAAACUCCAGCCCACAUCUCAGCUCUGGAGCCACCAUGUAGUUUGAACCACGGGCAGCCCACUCACCAGGGACGAUGACCAGUGUGGGAUGAAAAACACUGGGUUUCUCCAAAUGUUCUCAGCCAAGUAAGGUUUUCAGGAUCUACAUUGGACCUGGACAGAGCGGGGUGAAAGAGCCCAAAUAUUAGCCAAAAUUUAUUUUCCUUCAGUCUGUUGGUUAGAUUAAAUUUUAUUUAGAAAAGUAACAAAUGUGGUAUUUCUUAAACUUGAGAUGUGGAGUAAAAUUCACGACAGCUGCAUUUUAUACUUUACCUAAUUUACUUUCCCAGGGGUUUGGAAAGAAUCCUCUGAAAUAUUAAGGGAAGUUUCCUUCAAUGGGAUUGUUAUAUUCACAAUUUUGAAUUUUUUUGUCGUAUGUUAUGAACUGAAUUGUACCCGCCCCCCACCACCCCCCCCCCCCCCGAUAUGUUGAAGCCCUAACCCACAAUGUGACUGUAUUUGGUGAUAGGACCUUUAAAGAAAUAAUUAAAGUUAAAUGAGAUCAUAAGGGUGGAGUCUAAUCCAAUAUGAUUGAUGUCCUAAUGAGAGAGAGAGAGACAUCAGGAACGUGUGCGCAGAGGAAAGGUCAUAUGGGGACACAGCAUGAAGGCAGCCAUCUGCACGCCAAGGAGAAAGACCUCAGGAGAAACCAACUCUGCUAACACGUUGAUCCUGGACUUCCAGCCUCCAGAACUGUGAGAAAAUAAAUCUCUGUCGUUUAGACCAGCCAGUCUACAGUAUUUUGUUAUGGCAGCUCUAGCAAAGGAAUACACCAUAUUUAGUACUUUCAUGUACAGGUCUUUAUUCCCAUAGGAAAUCUCCAAUAUUGUAUGCUACUAGAAAUUCUUAUGCUGUGUGGAACUGAUUUACACUCAACUAGGUAAAAUGAUUCACUUUCUGAAAAGAUUGUUGCAAGGGGCUGCAGAACAUACUGAGAUCUCAUUGCCCAAACACAUAGAAAACAAAUGAUGCUCCAACAGUGACUGGAAGUCAUGUGGAGUAGGUAGGUGUGUGUGCAGGAUGAGGCGGCUCUACUAUUGUAAGUUAAAACUGGAAGUACUUUCCCCAGGUACUGUGGUAAUGCUAGCAUCACAUUAACCUUUGUUCAUAGGAAUGUGCUGAACACAUGUUACUUAACCAGGGAGGAGAUAUUAAAUUAUAAAAAUUACUUUCUUUCUACCAUACUUGCUUGAAUGUUGCCAUCACAAUUUAAAUUUUCUUUUACACAAUUUAAAAUCUUUAAGGAGUAAGAGUCAAUCUGCUUCUGAUUUUAUAGACCUCUAAAAUUGCUAGCUAAAUUUCAUAGAUGCUGUCAAAAAAAAAAAAGAGAGAGAACAUAGGAAAAUACAAAGACAAGGAAAACAUAUUACCAUACCAUAAGUUCCUAGAUCAAGGAUAUAUCAUUAUAUCCUUGAGACCAUCAAACACACUGUUUUGCACACGGUUGGCAUUUAUGAUUGUUUUAAUGCACUGCAACUCUAAGACAAAGAAAAGCACGUAACUAAUAUGACUGUAGAAUAAAGACUAAAUUUUGCAUAUGACAUGUGAAAUCAAGUUUUAUCACUUUACAAUUAUAUACUGUAAAUGAGUGAAAAUAUGUGAGUAGGUUUCUACUUGGACGAAUACACUGACA
This is a long non-coding RNA of Equus asinus (donkey), 2145 nucleotides long. The record is from Ensembl. Lineage: Eukaryota; Metazoa; Chordata; Mammalia; Perissodactyla; Equidae.